ACUCAAAUGAAUUGACGGGGACCCGCACAAGCGGUGGAGCGUGUUGUUUAAUUCGACGAUAAGCGAAGAACCUUACCAGGGUUUGACAUCUUCGGAAUUUCUUCGAAAGAAGAGAGUGCCGCAAGGAACCGAAUGACAGGUGAUGCAUGGCCGUCUUCAGCUCGUGUCGUGAGAUGUUGGGUUAAGUCCCGCAACGAGCGCAACCCUUAUGGUUAGUUGGAUUUUUCUAACCAGACUGCCUCGGCAACGGGGAGGAAGGAGGGGAUGAUGUCAGGUCAGUAUUUCCCUUACAUCCUGGGCUACAAACACGCUACAAUGGCCGGUACAAAGGGCAGCCAAGUCGCGAGACGGAGCAAAUCCCAUCAAAGCCGGUCUCAGUUCGGAUUGCAGGCUGAAACUCGCCUGCAUGAAGCUGGAAUCGCUAGUAACCGUAGGUCAGCACACUACGGUGAAUACGUUCCCGGGUCUUGUACACACCGCCCGU
Molecule: ribosomal RNA, 484 nt
Filed under: uncultured bacterium
Lineage: Bacteria
Description: partial 16S ribosomal RNA
Rfam family: Bacterial small subunit ribosomal RNA
Source: RNAcentral